UCUGAUGCGAGGAGGAAGCCUAAGUAAGU
This 29-nucleotide non-coding RNA is filed under the name Rattus norvegicus (Norway rat). The record is from RNAcentral. Lineage: Eukaryota; Metazoa; Chordata; Mammalia; Rodentia; Muridae.